CCGAGAAUCUUGGUCAAUGGGCGCAAGCCUGAACCAGCGACGCCGCGUGCGGGAAGAAGGUCUUCGGAUUGUAAACCGCUUUUCUCCGGGAAGAAGCCUAGACUUUUAGUCUAGGUUGACGGUACCGGAGGAAUAAGAGGGUGCUAAUUCUGUG
RNAcentral lists this ribosomal RNA (154 nucleotides) under uncultured bacterium. Its description in RNAcentral is "partial 16S ribosomal RNA". It matches the Rfam family "Bacterial small subunit ribosomal RNA", at positions 355 to 507 of the family's 1533-position model. The record is from RNAcentral.